Molecule: ribosomal RNA, 301 nt
Filed under: uncultured bacterium
Lineage: Bacteria
Description: partial 16S ribosomal RNA
Rfam family: Bacterial small subunit ribosomal RNA
Source: RNAcentral
CAGUCGCCGCGGUAAAACGAAGGGGGCUAGCGUUGUUCGGAUUUACUGGGCGUAAAGGGCGCGUAGGCGGACUGAUAAGUCAGGGGUGAAAUCCCAAGGCUCAGCCUUGGAACUGCCUUUGAUACUGUUUGUCUUGAGUUCGAGAGAGGUAAGUGGAACUGCGAGUGUAGAGGUGAAAUUCGUAGAUAUUCGCAAGAACACCAGUGGCGAAGGCGGCUUACUGGCUCGAAACUGACGCUGAGGCGCGAAAGCGUGGGGAGCAAACAGGAUUAGAUACCCGCGUAGUCCCUGUCUCUUAUAC